GUAAGGGAAUCUUCCACAAUGGACGAAAGUCUGAUGGAGCAACGCCGCGUGAGUGAAGAAGGUUUUCGGAUCGUAAAGCUCUGUUGUUGGUGAAGAAGGAUAGAGGCAGUAACUGGUCUUUAUUUGACGGUAAUCAACCAGAAAGUCACGGCUAACUACGUGCCAG
Molecule: ribosomal RNA, 166 nt
Filed under: uncultured bacterium
Lineage: Bacteria
Description: partial 16S rRNA
Rfam family: Bacterial small subunit ribosomal RNA
Source: RNAcentral